Molecule: non-coding RNA, 30 nt
Filed under: Homo sapiens (human)
Lineage: Eukaryota; Metazoa; Chordata; Mammalia; Primates; Hominidae
Source: RNAcentral
UUCUUGCACAUGGGCUUAAAGCUGUCCUGU